RNAcentral lists this transfer RNA (71 nucleotides) under Columba palumbus. RNAcentral's name for it is "tRNA-Gln". It matches the Rfam family "tRNA". Rfam says of the family: Transfer RNA (tRNA) molecules are approximately 80 nucleotides in length. Their secondary structure includes four short double-helical elements and three loops (D, anti-codon, and T loops). Lineage: Eukaryota; Metazoa; Chordata; Aves; Columbiformes; Columbidae. The record is from RNAcentral.
UAGAAAAUAAUAUAGAGGAAGUAUGAGGAGUUUUGAUCUCUUUUGUGCAGGUUCAAAUCCUGCUUUUCUAA